Molecule: ribosomal RNA, 1220 nt
Filed under: metagenome
Description: SSU rRNA
Rfam family: Eukaryotic small subunit ribosomal RNA
Source: RNAcentral
UGGUUGAUCCUGCCAGUAGUGAUAUGCUUGUUUCAAAGAUUAAGCCAUGCAUGACUAAGUAUAAGCGAACUUAUACAGUGAAACUGCGGAUGGCUCAUUAAAACGGUUUGAAUUUAUUUGAUGAAUGUAUGAGAAUACUACUUGGAUAACCGUAGUAAUUCUAGAGCUAAUACAUGCAACGACGCCCGACCGUUUCACUACGGAAGGGCUGUAUUUAUUGGAUACCAAAACCAUUCCUCCCUCGGGAAGUUUUGUUUGAUGAUUCACAAUAACUGAUCGGAUCGCCACUGUGGUGGCGACAGGUCAUUCAACAUUCUGCCCUAUCAGCUUUCGAUGGUUGUGUAGUGGACAACCAUGGCCAUAACGGGUAACGGAGAAUCAGGGUUCGAUUCCGGAGAAGGAGCUUGAGAAUUGGCUACUACAUCUAAGGAAGGCAGCAGGCGCGCAAAUUACCCAAUCCCGAUUCGGGGAGGUAGUGACAAAAAAUAACAAUACCGGGCCUUUUUGGGCUUGGUAAUUGGAAUGAGGGAGAGUUAAACGGACCAUCGAGUAUCCAUUGGAGGGCAAGUCUGGUGCCAGCAGCUGCGGUAAUACCAGCUCCAAUAGCGUAUAUUAAAGUUGUUGCAGUUAAAAAGCUCGUAGUUGGACUUGUGUGCGCUGUCCGCGGGUGGCCUGCGCCCAAAAGGGCGUUUCGGUUCGGCCCCGGUGGCGCCUUGAAAUCUGCAGCUGGGGGGACGUUGGCCUUAACUGGUCGGCGACCGCACGCCGACUGCUCGGCUACUGUGAGAAAAUUAGAGUGUUCAAGGCAGGCAUUGGGUGCAAUUGAAUACAUUAGCAUGGAAUAAUAAAAUAUGGCUCCUGCCGUAUUUUGUUGGUUUUGACUGGUGGGAGUAAUGAUUGAUAGGGACGGUUGGGGGUGCUAGUAUUGAGCGGCCAGAGGUGAAAUUCAUGGAUUCGCUCAAGACGAACUUAUGCGAAAGCAUUCACCAAGGACGUCCUCUUUAAUCAAGAACGAAAGUUGGGGGAUCGAAGACGAUCAGAUACCGUCGUAGUCUCAACCAUAAACUAUGUCGACUUGGGAUCGGCGGUAGUUUUUUCAUUAAGACACUGUCGGGACCACGGGAGAAAUCAAAGUGUCUGGACUCUGGGGGAAGUAUGGUCGCAAGGCUGAAACUUGAAGGAAUUGACGGAAGGGCACCACCAGGAGUGGAGCCUGCGGC